GACGUAGGAGGCGAGCGUUAUCCGGAUUCACUGGGCGUAAAGCGCAUGUAGGCGGUUGGACAAGUCGUGUGUUAAAGCCCCUGGCUCAACUGGGGGAGGUCAUGCGAGACUGUGCGACUUGAGGGCAAGAGAGGCACGUGGAACUCCCGGUGUAGCGGUGGAAUGCGUAGAGAUCGGGAAGAACCUCGAAAGCGAAGGCAGCCGACUGGGUGAUGAGUGACGCUGAGGGACGAAAGCGUGGGGAGCGAACAGG
This 253-nucleotide ribosomal RNA is filed under the name uncultured bacterium. Its description in RNAcentral is "partial 16S ribosomal RNA". It matches the Rfam family "Bacterial small subunit ribosomal RNA", at positions 524 to 776 of the family's 1533-position model. The record is from RNAcentral.